RNAcentral lists this unclassified non-coding RNA (240 nucleotides) under soil metagenome. Its description in RNAcentral is "partial contains 5.8S ribosomal RNA, internal transcribed spacer 2, and large subunit ribosomal RNA". The record is from RNAcentral.
AACGAGGCCGACCUGCGGCUGAGUUACCUGCGGAGGGAUCAUUAACAAUUGUCCACUAUCAUGGAUAAUUUUAUCCAUAUCCACCUUGUGUGAAUUACAGAAUGUUUAUUGGCAGGUUGAAAGGUUUCCCGCAAUGGGGAUCUUUGUGUGUGAGCGUUCAGCGCUCGGCCUGCCAAUUUUAUUUGUUUAAACAUGUCUAAAUAUUACUAGUCUGAAAUACUUAUUACACAAUAAUAAAUA